Long non-coding RNA from Cavia porcellus (domestic guinea pig), 1717 nucleotides. RefSeq lists it as uncharacterized. The record is from RefSeq and is a predicted model, not a curated record. Lineage: Eukaryota; Metazoa; Chordata; Mammalia; Rodentia; Caviidae. The transcript is spliced from 2 exons.
GAAGCCGCCUAUGAUGGCGCCCAUUUCCUGCUUCCGGGUUCUUCCCGGCCUGAACAAGCCCGCCAAAUUGUCAUAUCUGCCCAGUUACCCGUGACGCUAGCCUAUCAGCUUGUUAGGCGCGCUUCUCUGUGAUUGGAUACUGCUUCCCCUUAUAAGAGGUUGUUCCUGCCCCCAACGGCGGAAGAGGAAUCAACACCGAGGGUGGCGGACCUUGUCAGGUCCGGUUCGCUGUACGUAAUAAAGUUUGAGAGCUGAUCCUGCUCGAGUUUGGUCUCCUGUCUCCCGCGGCUCCGGUCAUCUGGUGGCCCCCGUACGGGGAAAAAGGUAAAAGACUCAGCGACGUGCCUCUUCGGCCGGGAGGUGCGAUUGCUGUCGCCUGCGGUACGACGGAGGACCUGGCCCAAUAACAACGGAAGGCCGCGAGCACCUCUUCUCUUCACCCUGAUCAGCUACGUGAGAUACAGCGGUUCCCGGGACAGGAACCAGGCUGCGAACCGCUGUGGGUCCCGGAAAGAUUGACGCGAGCAGGAAACUCCCCACCAGUUCCUGAUAAAGCACAGGAGGAUAAGCCCGCGGACACAAGUCAACUCGACCCUUCUGGGACCGACGCUCAGCGCCCGAGACCAUCUACAAACUAAAAUGUCUGGUUUGGAGUUUUUUCUAUUCUGUGGGUUCCUAUUAAUCACCCCUGUGAUAUGCUCAGAUUCCACAGAACCACCACAAUAUCUUUGGGGUCCUUGGCACCACCCGCCUACAUUGGCACCUUUUUCGGCGGCCUCGCCCGCCUCACCCAGGGUUUACACCAUCAAUCAAACAGUCCUUGAUUAUGCUAAUUGCCAUGGCUAUCCUAGUAGGGCUUGUGGUUAUUAAAUGCUUGUUAGAUCGCCUCAUACAAACUCAGCAGCAGGUUAAGAUCACAGCUAUGGCAGCCAUGCAAAUGGCAGCAGGUGGCCCAUCAGGCCAGCAGGCCGCCGCAUAUCUCCUUCACAUUGCAGAACAUCAGCUAUAAGAGCUGAGUGGGCAAGCCAAUGACGGGUAAGACGGGAAAAGCCCUCCCGGUCAACCUAAGACAGGCUCCACUCAGAUAUACAUGGCCUAUAAGGCCAGGGGUCCCUCCCGGAGUCAAAUUAUUGGCAUUGAGAUGCGAGACCAAGGGUACUGCAGUGCCAUCCGCCCCAAAGGUUGGGGGGAAGGCAGGAAUGAAUGUCUAUAUGCAUCCAGGUUCGGUUCACAAAAGCCUGGCCCUGCGAAAAAAUGAACCACUCACCUUGAGCAUGGUCCUGGCGCAAGGAUAUGCACAAAACAGGGUGAUGCACAGCAGGGUAUAGACCUCUACAUUCUCUCAUGCCUCGGCCUACAAGGUAGGCCCACUCCUAGGUGUCUAACAGCAACAAGGUCAUAGACACCUUGGAGGGACCUACAGACCAUCCUAUUUUAAUAAAUAAAAAAGGGGGAGAUGUGGGAAGCCGCCUAUGAUGGCGCCCAUUUCCUGCUUCCGGGUUCUUCCCGGCCUGAACAAGCCCGCCAAAUUGUCAUAUCUGCCCAGUUACCCGUGACGCUAGCCUAUCAGCUUGUUAGGCGCGCUUCUCUGUGAUUGGAUACUGCUUCCCCUUAUAAGAGGUUGUUCCUGCCCCCAACGGCGGAAGAGGAAUCAACACCGAGGGUGGCGGACCUUGUCAGGUCCGGUUCGCUGUACGUAAUAAAGUUUGAGAGCUGA